UCCCUGGUAGCUCAGCUGGUAAAGAAUCUGCCUGCAAUGCAGGACACCCAGGUUCGAGCCCUGGGUUGGGAA
RNAcentral lists this transfer RNA (72 nucleotides) under Bos taurus (domestic cattle). It matches the Rfam family "tRNA". From Rfam's summary of the family: Transfer RNA (tRNA) molecules are approximately 80 nucleotides in length. Their secondary structure includes four short double-helical elements and three loops (D, anti-codon, and T loops). Further hydrogen bonds mediate the characteristic L-shaped molecular structure. tRNAs have two regions of fundamental functional importance: the anti-codon, which is responsible for specific mRNA codon recognition, and the 3' end, to which the tRNAs corresponding amino acid is attached (by aminoacyl-tRNA synthetases). tRNAs cope with the degeneracy of the genetic code in two manners: having more than one tRNA (with a specific anti-codon) for a particular amino acid; and 'wobble' base-pairing, i.e. permitting non-standard base-pairing at the 3rd anti-codon position. RNAcentral also lists the same sequence under 3 other names. The record is from Rfam by way of RNAcentral. Lineage: Eukaryota; Metazoa; Chordata; Mammalia; Artiodactyla; Bovidae.